This is a long non-coding RNA of Lucilia sericata (common green bottle fly), 2688 nucleotides long. RefSeq lists it as uncharacterized. The record is from RefSeq and is a predicted model, not a curated record. The transcript is spliced from 3 exons. NCBI's taxonomy places the organism in Eukaryota, Metazoa, Arthropoda, Insecta, Diptera, Calliphoridae.
AUAAAAUUCCUCAUUCACAACGUUGUGUUACGCUAGUAAAGAGCAACGUAAAACGCGUUAAAGUUUUUGAAAACCACAAAAACCAAAACAAUUUUUGCGAAAUUAAAACGAAACCAAAAAAAAAAAAAAAUAUGUUUUAAACUACAAGAAAUAUUGUAAUAAAAAAAAGAGAUUAAAAUAUUGUGUUUAAAAAGUGUUUUAAUUAUAAAACAAGAAAAAUAAAAACAACAAAAUUUUAAACCCUAAUUAAAAAUAAAAUUUUAAUGUUGUAGUAGUUGUGGCUUGCCAAAAUAUAAUUGUGUUCUUUAAUAUUGUUUGUGUUGCUUCGUUUUGUAUGCAGUGGCUAAAUAACGGUCUUAAACUUAAGAAAACUAACUAAAAGUUAAAAAAAGGAAGAAAAAGAAACAACAACAACAGCUAAUUACACAAGCGUCUUAAAUUACUUAAGAAAGAGGGAAAAUAUCCUUAUAAUCCUAAACUCACAAAAUGAGUUAAAACUUUAGUGCUACAACGUCGAUAAGAAUUUCAUGUUUAUUAAAUAUCCAAAAGUUUGCUAACCCAAUUUAACGUAUACUUUUGGGGAGUUACUAGCUUCUCAUGGACGUAAUGUUGGCAAACAGGAUAUUUUUGUUGCAAAAUUAAUUAAAUAAUUUAAUGGGUCAUCAUAUUAAACUAUACAGUGUGAAAUAAAUUAAAAACUAGUAAAUUUUGUUUUUAAUAAUUCACUAUAUAAGUUAAGGUAUCUUUGAAUAGCAGAGCAUAUUUAUAGAAAACAAUAUGUUAAAAACAAAUCUAAAAAUUAAAAAAUAAAAAAUAAUUAAAAAACAUAUUUAACACGAAGUAACUUUAAUUUACAAUUAAAAGAAUUACAACAUUCAAAAAUGUUUUCACAACAAUUUGCAUUGUUUGAGGCAAUAAAAAUGCACAAAAUAAUAUUUUGAAAAUAUAAAAAUUUUCCACAUACCAACAGUUCUAGGACAAUUUGCAGUUCAAAACUACAAUUUGUAAAAACCAAACAUUUUAAUCAACUCUAAAACAAACAUACCUUAAGGCGUUGUAACAAUACAAACCAAAAAGUAACUAAGAAAUACUACCAAACAUCUAUAUACAUAUUUUUAUAAGAAAAUAUGAAAAUUUGCUGUGAGAAGAACAAAAACUCAAAGUACUUAUAGCAUAUCUAAAGGAUUGUUAGCAAAAUUAAUAAAGUUGUUAAAACAAACUAAAGUGAAAAUUGUUUAUAUAAAAAAUGUGAAAAAUGUCAUAAACAAUUAUGUUGAAAAAGUAAAUUUUUAGAGAAAAAAUAAUUAAAAACACAGAAAAAUUUUCUAAAACCUAUCAACAGAUAUUUAAAGUGGAAGUUCAAAAAUAUAAGAAAAAAAUUUUCUUCAAAAACUAUUUUGCAACCUUAAGCUACAAUUAUAAAUUUAUUUAUUGAAAGCAAAGAAAUAUACAAACGUGAGUUGAUAUCAUAUAAAGCAUACAAAUAGGAUUUUCUUAAAAGUGGAAUUUUUUAAGUGCUAUAUAUAUAAAAUGCAAUACAUAAUUCUAUAUUAAAUAAAAUAUAUAAAAAAUUAUUAUAUAUAAAUAAUUAGCUUUCAAAAAUCACAUAAAAUAAUAUUUGAAAUUAAUUUAAAAAUAUAAAAAUAUGCAAUUAACUGCAAAUUGUAAAUAAUAAAUAUUAAAAGUCCCCAGGAUUUGCCAAUAAACUUCUAUAAAAUUUAAAUAAAGUCCAUUAACAAUAAAUUUUACAAAAUCCUUAAAAGUACAUACAUACAUAUGUAAUUAGAGUAUAUAUUAUAUGUCAAAUUCUAUGAAUAAAACUAAAGCAUAACCACAGGCUCAAUUUAAAAUAUUAAAUUUUAAGCAACAAUUAAGGUGUUAAAUAAAUUCUAAAUAAAAUAAUAUAAAAAUUAAUUCUAAAUUUAACAAAAAAAAAAAAAGUAAAUAAAGAAAAUAUAGUGCAAUAUAAUAAAAUAAUUUUAUAUCACAUAAUAAAAUCUUCUACGGCAAAUACAUAGAUACAAACAUACUAUUCAACAGAGGAGAAUCUACAUACAAACUCAACAUACAACACAGGUAAAUGUUAAUAUAAAAUACUAAUGGCCAUACAAGUCCGUAAGUUCAUAUAUUAACGUUUUUUUUUUAACAAAUAAAAACUAAAGCAUAUUUUUAGGCUAUAAAAUAUUUUAUGACAUAAAGCAUAUUUUAAGACAUUUAAUAUAUAAAAACUUAAAACUCGUUAACUUUUACUGACAUACUAUACCCACAAACAUAAAUCAUUGCCAACAUCCAUCUAAAAAAAAUAUAUUGAUGUUUAAAGGAAAACGAAAAACAAUUACCUUAAAUAUUACGACACAUAAAAGUCAAGUAAAGUCAACUGGCUAACAAUAGCAGCAAUUUAUGGAUUUACAUAAUAUUGCAAAAAAAGAAGAAAUUACUAAAGGUUACAAACUAAUCUUUGGCUAGAGAAUAUGUAUAAUAAAAAAUGUCAUUGGAAUGGAUAGUAAAAAAUAUUGAAUUUUUACUAAAAGAAUUUAAUAUAGAUAUCUAGACGACUGACAUAACUCAAAAAAAUAUAGUUUGGAGAAAAAUGGCUUGUAAUGUUUUAGGAUAUUUUACUAUUUCUAAAAUAACUUUUAAACAAAUCAUGGAAUUUAAAAAAUAAUUCUAAAGGUUGAUAUGUUUCUC